This is an RNA transcript of Macadamia integrifolia, 3075 nucleotides long. It is a transcript of the gene named glutamic acid-rich protein, with no coding region annotated. The record is from RefSeq and is a predicted model, not a curated record. The transcript is spliced from 3 exons. NCBI's taxonomy places the organism in Eukaryota, Viridiplantae, Streptophyta, Magnoliopsida, Proteales, Proteaceae.
UUGUAGAUUCUUUUCUGGUAUUUUCUUCUCUUUCCUUUUCCUUUCUUUUCUUUUCUUCUCUUUUCUUUUCUUUUCGUCCCGCCAACGUGCUUACUUCUCCCUCUUCUCUGUGGUUGAAUAGUUCGAUAGAAGGAAUGCUCUAAGAAGGUUUCGAUGGAGAUUGAAGGUGAAGAUGAUUCGAGAAUAAUAAUUGGGAAUGGGUCGAAGGACUGCGGAAGAGGGUUAGGAUUUCCAUCCGAUGAUAGAACAGUUUCCCGCCGCCAUGUUUCAUUUGAACUACUCACCUCUUCUAGGAUUGGGAAGAAUAAGGAUAUUAAUCCAGAUACGGAACCUACGGUUUCUUUUGAAGUUUUGGGGAAGAAUCCUUUUUGGGUGUUCAGCAAUAGCAGCGGUGACGUUAGAGCUUUCGGGAGGUUCGAGAGAGGGGAACUCAGAAUCGGUGAUCGGUUCUGUGUUUCUGCAGAGAAACCCAUCUUGUUUAGAUUGAAGAGAAUUGGGGUUGAAGACCCUGAAGGAAAAGAGAAAUGCGUCCCAAAGGCGGUCGAGUGUAGCCGAAGGGUUUCGGAGGCAAAAGUAAUGGCAGAAAGUAUUCAAAACGUUGUUGGGAAGUUUGAAGGAGAGGAGAGUUUAGGUUCUGAGUCGCUGAACGUCUCAGAUAUUGACCCAGUUAAAGAGUUUGGUUUUGUGGUAAUGGGCCAUGAAUUUGACCGCUACCCGAAGCAAAUGGUUCGAGAUAUAAAUAAUUGGAAGUGGUACCUUGAAGAAGCAAGGGAAGAUAUUGAAGAUGACGAUCUGCUUGAGAAAAAUAGCUCAAAAGGGAAGAAAAUUGUUGGAAGAAAGAAGAAUGAUAAAAGAAAUGAUGAUGAGGAAUGGAUGGGUGAGAGUGAAGAUGAGAUAGUGCUAAUGGAAAACAUAAGAAGAGCAAAAAGACCUAGACAUUCUAUGGCUAGAUCAAAGUAUCACGGUGAAUCCUCUAAGGAUAUGGGAAGUAGUAAACAUUUGGUGCAGAGGAAAACUGUCUGUUCUGAUCAAGGUGAAGAUGAAGAAGACAACGAUGAAGAUAAUCUUGGUGGUUUUAUUGUGAAUGAUGAUGACCUAGAAUUAGAAGAACAAGAAGAAGAGGAGGAGGAGGAGGAGGAAGAAGAUUAUGAUGAUGACAAUGACGAUGACGAUGAAAAUGAUGAUGACAAUGAAGGCAAUGAUGACUAGAAGUUAAAAUCUUGGAAGCGGCAUGUAAGCUGGGAACAUGGUCACAUGCAUUAUGAUCUAGAUGUAGACGUACUGAUUUAAACUUUCAGUUUGAGAGCCUUUCUUCAUGAGACAGUUCUUAUUCUUGUGAUCUUGGCAGCGUUUAUUCUUGGUUGAAGUUUGUAACCUAUAACCUGACCGACUGGCUUCAGUUGUUAUUUUGUAUUUCCAUGGAAAUUUCAUUGGGUUAAUGCUAUAACACAAUUAUUUUGGGGCAAUGUGUGGGGAACCAAUGGCUGCUUGAUAGCAGCAACUUCAAAGUGAUAUCCAAGAUAUAAUUUCAUCAAAGAGGUUUUCUUCAGUUUCUACUUGAAUGUUUUUCAUGAUCUGACUAGAAUGAUUAUUUUGCAUUUUAGCAUUUGCUGAGAUGAGGUGAUUAAUAGAAUUCAAGAAUGUUAAGAGCAGCAAUCUCUGGAUAAUGAUAUUGGUGUAAACUUGUGUAAACAGCAGAAGCAUGGAGAAUGGCCCCAAAACGAUAGAUUAUGUAACAAAUUGAGUAACCUACUUGGAUAGUAUGUGUAAUAUUGUUACUACUAUGGUGACAAAUACAAGUCCCCCAAGUAUGAUUAUAUAUCAUUGCAUUUUAGAAUUAAAAGAACAAAGGACCUUUUAAGAGGCUUUUCCAUUUUCCCUUGUUUCAUAUUUUGUGGUUGGACAAGUAGUAGUCAUUUGCAGGUGAAGAUGGGUAGUGAGGCCCAAGACUUUUCCAGCUUUGCAAGCUAGAUCAUCUAUUGUUUGUAAGGGGCUUCCAUAUCAAGAUUUGAGUGUAUUUUCUGUUGCUGUCAACAUAACACAAAUUUGUUAACUAUGCACACCUUGAAAAGCAACUUGGGCUGAUGCAGGAAUUUGAGCUUUCCCAGGUAAAAAGGCAAUGGUACACUGUAGCUGUGGUAAUAGAGGAUGACAUGCACAUAGUGUAUACCUGAGGCACCAAAAUAUGUUGAUAUGUGAAUGUGGGUGGCAUUUUAUUACCUCAUCAAGAAGAUACCUUCUAGAAGAAGAAACAUGGUGGCAAAUAAUGGAAGGGGAAAGAACAAAAAACAACAAAAGCAGCAAAAGAGAAAGUGUGAGGAGACUUUAGGGUUCAGAUGGCCAUGGAAAAAUCUUUCUGAACAGCUUAGUGACAUUUGCCCCGCUAAGGUUGACCACCUCAUCUCAUUACCCACCAACAUCUGCAAUAGUAGUAGUAGUGGUAACUUAUAUCAUUUGUGGGGACCAAGGAUUCAUGGUUUACCCAUACAUGGACUAAAAUUUUAAAGUACAAUUUUACAUUGGGACCCACCAUUGAGCCUGAAGUAGUGUUAUGAAAUCUUUGACAGAAAACAGUGAAUACCCUAAAUAAGGGACUGUAUUGUGAUGAAAUAGAUACAGGGAUGAUGAUGGCCAUGGCAGCAAAUGUUUGGGACAACAAUAAAUUCAAUUCAAUGGUGUCUUAGAUCAGCAUCAGUCAAUGGAACAGAGAGGUCAUGAUUUUGGGAGCUAGAGCUUGGACAGAAGAAUCAAAUUAUGAGUUUCCUCCUUUUCAGUGCCACUCAUGUUCCUGCUGCAUUUGGGGUAUGGACUAAAAGAGAGGAGCAGUUCUGUAAUUACUAUUGAGGAACUGUGAUGAAUAAGAAUCCGACAAAGAUUCAGGUUGUGAUGACACCAGAAGCAACCCACUCAGCCCACCCUGGCCCCCAAAUAGGUGAGAUGACAUCACACUUGUAUUGUUUUGAAAAGGGAAAAUUAGCAUAAUAGGAAGAUUCGUUUUCAAGAUUCUUACAAAAGAGGGACAUACUUCUGGUGUAUUAAUUAUUCACUUUUAGUAUUGCUUCUAGUUGAUAGAUA